UACGUAGGGUGCGAGCGUUGUCCGGAAUUAUUGGGCGUAAAGGGCUCGUAGGCGGUUUGUCGCGUCGGGAGUGAAAACACCGGGCUUAACUCGGUGCUUGCUUUCGAUACGGGCAGACUAGAGGCAUGCAGGGGGGAACGGAAUUCCUGGUGUAGCGGUGAAAUGCGCAGAUAUCAGGAGGAACACCGGUGGCGAAGGCGGUUCUCUGGGCAUGUCCUGACGCUGAGGAGCGAAAGUGUGGGGAGCGAACAGG
RNAcentral lists this ribosomal RNA (253 nucleotides) under uncultured bacterium. Its description in RNAcentral is "partial 16S ribosomal RNA". It matches the Rfam family "Bacterial small subunit ribosomal RNA", at positions 524 to 776 of the family's 1533-position model. The record is from RNAcentral.